AUUGAACGCUGGCGGCAGGCCUAACACAUGCAAGUCGAGCGGAUGAAGGGAGCUUGCUCCUGGAUUCAGCGGCGGACGGGUGAGUAAUGCCUAGGAAUCUGCCUGGUAGUGGGGAUAACGUCCGGAAACGGGCGCUAAUACCGCAUACGUCCUGAGGGAUAAAGUGGGGGAUCUUCGGACCUCACGCUAUCAGAUGAGCCUAGGUCGGAUUAGCUAGUUGGUGGGGUAAAGGCCUACCAAGGCGACGAUCCGUAACUGGUCUGAGAGGAUGAUCAGUCACACUGGAACUGAGACACGGUCCAGACUCCUACGGGAGGCAGCAGUGGGGAAUAUUGGACAAUGGGCGAAAGCCUGAUCCAGCAAUGCCGCGUGUGUGAAGAAGGUCUUCGGAUUGUAAAGCACUUUAAGUUGGGAGGAAGGGCAGUAAGUUAAUACCUUGCUGUUUUGACGUUACCAACAGAAUAAGCACCGGCUAACUUCGUG
RNAcentral lists this ribosomal RNA (483 nucleotides) under uncultured bacterium. RNAcentral's name for it is "partial 16S ribosomal RNA". It matches the Rfam family "Bacterial small subunit ribosomal RNA", at positions 30 to 507 of the family's 1533-position model. The record is from RNAcentral.